CCCACUUCUUAUAUAUAUUAUAAGAGUCAGCCCAAACCCAUCUCCAAGUCCAUUCUUAUUCCCAAGCCCAUUCUUCAUUUAAUCUCUAUCUAAACCCUAACCUUAAUUCACAAUAUCUCUUAUCCUUACUCACACAGCACUACCCUUGCCGCAAAACAAAUUCCCCAAACACAACUCCCACAGUCCCACUUAGUAGAGCUGCAAAAUCAGAAAAACAAGGAACCCAUCGAUCGGCGAUCGUAAAAUAUUACUCCUCUCAGGACAUGAAUGAAUUCAGCAACAAAGUGACAAGCUGCAAAGGAAAAUCUUUUCUUUUUCUGGUGAAGAUAGACAAUACUCAACAAUAAGUCGUGAAAACUUAUUUUGCGGUGGAAGAAUUAAACGAAUUGACACUUGACAAUGAUUCAUUUCAUGAAGAAAUGAGAUAUGCAAAAAAAAUAAAGAUUGAGAAAUAAAUAAUUUAGGAAUACUUUUAUUUUCAAAUAGUUAUAGUUUUAGAUUUUCUAAUAUAUUCUGUUUCUUUUGAGGUGACAAUUAUUACAAUCUAAAAAUUGUUAGUACC
Long non-coding RNA from Cornus florida, 562 nucleotides. RefSeq lists it as uncharacterized. The record is from RefSeq and is a predicted model, not a curated record. NCBI's taxonomy places the organism in Eukaryota, Viridiplantae, Streptophyta, Magnoliopsida, Cornales, Cornaceae. The transcript is spliced from 2 exons.